UAGGAUUACCUAUGUAUGCAUCAUGGCUGC
Molecule: non-coding RNA, 30 nt
Filed under: Rattus norvegicus (Norway rat)
Lineage: Eukaryota; Metazoa; Chordata; Mammalia; Rodentia; Muridae
Source: RNAcentral